This 58-nucleotide transfer RNA is filed under the name Culex quinquefasciatus (southern house mosquito). It matches the Rfam family "tRNA", at positions 8 to 63 of the family's 71-position model. From Rfam's summary of the family: Transfer RNA (tRNA) molecules are approximately 80 nucleotides in length. Lineage: Eukaryota; Metazoa; Arthropoda; Insecta; Diptera; Culicidae. The record is from Rfam by way of RNAcentral.
UGGCCGAAUGGUUAAGCUGUUCGCUUAGUAAGCGAAAGAUCAUGGGUUCGAUUCCCAU